RNAcentral lists this ribosomal RNA (528 nucleotides) under uncultured bacterium. Its description in RNAcentral is "bacterial SSU rRNA". It matches the Rfam family "Bacterial small subunit ribosomal RNA", at positions 777 to 1304 of the family's 1533-position model. The record is from RNAcentral.
AAUAGAUACCCCGGUAGUCCACGCCGUAAACGGUGGGCGCUAGGUGUGGGGAACAUUCCACGUUCUCCGUGCCGCAGCUAACGCAUUAAGCGCCCCGCCUGGGGAGUACGGCCGCAAGGCUAAAACUCAAAGGAAUUGACGGGGGCCCGCACAAGCGGCGGAGCAUGCGGCUUAAUUCGAUGCAACGCGAAGAACCUUACCUAGGCUUGACAGUUGGGGAAAUCUGGCAGAGAUGUCAGGUCCGCAAGGGCCCCAAAACAGGUGGUGCAUGGCUGUCAUCAGCUCGUGUCGUGAGAUGUUGGGUUAAGUCCCGCAACGAGCGCAACCCUCGUCGUAUGUUGCCAGCGGAUAAUGCCGGGGACUCAUACGAGACUGCCGGGGUCAACUCGGAGGAAGGUGGGGAUGACGUCAAGUCAUCAUGCCCCUUAUAUCUAGGGCUGCAAACAUGCUACAAUGGCCGAUACAAAGGGCUGCUAUACCGCGAGGUGGAGCGAAUCCCAUAAAGUCGGUCCCAGUUCGGAUUGGAGU